This 45-nucleotide non-coding RNA is filed under the name Schistosoma bovis. The record is from RNAcentral. RNAcentral also lists the same sequence under 1 other name. Lineage: Eukaryota; Metazoa; Platyhelminthes; Trematoda; Strigeidida; Schistosomatidae.
AUCCAGCUGAUGAGUCCCAAGUAGGACGAAACGCGUGUCCUGGAU